This 320-nucleotide ribosomal RNA is filed under the name uncultured prokaryote. RNAcentral's name for it is "partial 16S ribosomal RNA". It matches the Rfam family "Bacterial small subunit ribosomal RNA", at positions 26 to 352 of the family's 1533-position model. The record is from RNAcentral.
AGGAUUAACGCUGGCGGCGUGCCUGACACAUGCAAGUCGAACGAGGGCCGCAAGGCCUAGUGGCGGACGGGUGAGUAACACGUAGACCAACCAACCCCGAAGUUGGGAAUAGCUCUGCGAAAGUAGAGGUAAUACCGAAUGUGGUUCCAGGGCGGACAUCCGCUCUGGGUCUAAAGAUUUAUCGCUUCGGGACGGGGUCGCGGCCUAUUAGCUUAGUUGGUGGGUAACGGCCUACCAAGGCGAUGAUGGGUAGCUGGUCUGAGAGGACGACCAGCCACACGUGGGACUGAGACACGGCCCAGACUCCUACGGGAGGCAGC